Molecule: ribosomal RNA, 253 nt
Filed under: uncultured bacterium
Lineage: Bacteria
Description: partial 16S ribosomal RNA
Rfam family: Bacterial small subunit ribosomal RNA
Source: RNAcentral
GACGAACUGUGCAAACGUUAUUCGGAAUCACUGGGCUUGAAGAGUGCGUAGGCGGUUUCGUAAGUAGGGGGUGAAAGCCCCCGGCUCAACCGGGGAAUUGCGCCCUAAACUGCGAGGCUGGAGUGAGGUAGGGGUGUGUGGAACUUCUAGUGGAGCGGUGAAAUGUGUUGAUAUUAGAAGGAACGCCGGUGGCGAAAGCGACACACUGGACCUUGUCUGACGCUGAGGCACGAAAGCCAGGGGAGCAAACGGG